Molecule: long non-coding RNA, 238 nt
Filed under: Medicago truncatula (barrel medic)
Lineage: Eukaryota; Viridiplantae; Streptophyta; Magnoliopsida; Fabales; Fabaceae
Description: long non-coding RNA (MTRU_LNC001868)
Source: RNAcentral
GGCAUAAUUUUAUUCCACUUCAACUACAUCCCUUUGUUAUGCGCCCCCUCCCUAUUUACAUGUCAAUUCUUAAGUAAAACAAAGUGCCCCAUCAACAUUAUUAAUUUCAUUUUAUUCAUAUUAAUCUUUACCCUAAAAUGCUGGCCACUUCCUAAUUUUGUUCCACUAUUUUGUGCUUAUCCUGAUAACUAAUACUCUUUAUUGCUCAACCGACAUAUCCUACUAACACGUAUUGCAC